This 1072-nucleotide ribosomal RNA is filed under the name Metarhizium sp. RMK-2011b. RNAcentral describes it as "SSU rRNA". It matches the Rfam family "Eukaryotic small subunit ribosomal RNA", at positions 39 to 1123 of the family's 1831-position model. Lineage: Eukaryota; Fungi; Ascomycota; Sordariomycetes; Hypocreales; Clavicipitaceae. The record is from RNAcentral.
AAAGAUUAAGCCAUGCAUGUCUAAGUAUAAGCAAUUAUACAGCGAAACUGCGAAUGGCUCAUUAUAUAAGUUAUCGUUUAUUUGAUAGUACCUUACUACUUGGAUAACCGUGGUAAUUCUAGAGCUAAUACAUGCUGAAAAUCCCGACUUCGGAAGGGAUGUAUUUAUUAGAUUAAAAACCAAUGCCCUCUGGGCUCUCUGGUGAUUCAUGAUAACUUCUCGAAUCGCAUGGCCUUGCGCCGGCGAUGGUUCAUUCAAAUUUCUUCCCUAUCAACUUUCGAUGUUUGGGUAGUGGCCAAACAUGGUUGCAACGGGUAACGGAGGGUUAGGGCUCGACCCCGGAGAAGGAGCCUGAGAAACGGCUACUACAUCCAAGGAAGGCAGCAGGCGCGCAAAUUACCCAAUCCCGAUUCGGGGAGGUAGUGACAAUAAAUACUGAUACAGGGCUCUUUUGGGUCUUGUAAUUGGAAUGAGUACAAUUUAAAUCCCUUAACGAGGAACAAUUGGAGGGCAAGUCUGGUGCCAGCAGCCGCGGUAAUUCCAGCUCCAAUAGCGUAUAUUAAAGUUGUUGUGGUUAAAAAGCUCGUAGUUGAACCUUGGGCCUGGCUGGCCGGUCCGCCUCACCGCGUGUACUGGUCCGGCCGGGUCUUUCCCUCUGUGGAACCCCAUGCCCUUCACUGGGUGUGGCGGGGAAACAGGACUUUUACUUUGAAAAAAUUAGAGUGCUCCAGGCAGGCCUAUGCUCGAAUACAUUAGCAUGGAAUAAUGAAAUAGGACGUGCGGUUCUAUUUUGUUGGUUUCUAGGACCGCCGUAAUGAUUAAUAGGGACAGUCGGGGGCAUCAGUAUUCAAUUGUCAGAGGUGAAAUUCUUGGAUUUAUUGAAGACUAACUACUGCGAAAGCAUUUGCCAAGGAUGUUUUCAUUAAUCAGGAACGAAAGUUAGGGGAUCGAAGACGAUCAGAUACCGUCGUAGUCUUAACCAUAAACUAUGCCGACUAGGGAUCGGACGAUGUUAUUUUUUGACUCGUUCGGCACCUUACGAGAAAUCAAAGUGCUUGGGCUCCAGGGGGAG